UGGCUAUAAAAUCUUGCACAAUCAUUAACACACAAAAUUAAUGAAUGUGUUACUUUUUAUUUUUAUAUUUUUUACAGACAACUUUUCUCUGUUUAUAGAAAAUUAAUAUAGAAUAAUAGACAUCUUAUAGAAAAACUAAAUUUAGAAUUUUUUAAAGUAUAACUAGAUUUUUAUUUAUUCAUUGAGCUAAGUGCUUUAAAAUUAAAUGUAACGGACUGAAUUCAUAGCCAUGCAAGACAUUUUAUAGUUUGUGACCUGGCCAUAUUUGUCUCAUAUUUGCAGUGAAAGAAUUUAACAAAAUAUUGACUUAAACUUUCUGUAAUUGCAAUUUUGGCCUUUGUUAAGCUUUGUUUUGAGAAUUGUUGUGAGUGUAUAAAUGCAAGUCGGUGGAUCAGCAUUGUAUUAUUGUAAAUCAAUAUAUGUUGCUAAUAAUAAA
RNAcentral lists this long non-coding RNA (436 nucleotides) under Mytilus galloprovincialis (Mediterranean mussel). The record is from RNAcentral. Lineage: Eukaryota; Metazoa; Mollusca; Bivalvia; Mytilida; Mytilidae.